Molecule: long non-coding RNA, 438 nt
Organism: Epinephelus moara (kelp grouper)
Lineage: Eukaryota; Metazoa; Chordata; Actinopteri; Perciformes; Serranidae
Exons: 3
Source: RefSeq, a predicted model, not a curated record
CUGAGCCACAUGAGCCGGCAGCAGAUUGAACAGGAUUCUCUUGUUAUCCAGCUUCACUUUCUCCAUGUCGCCUCUCUCCUCCUCCGCCUGGACACCAUCAGCAAUAAAUACAACACACAAGAGGAGAAAGAGAGGCCUGGGUAACAGAGUAGGUGAGCAGAACGAGGAAGACACACAGCACCGUUCGGAUCUGGAUGGUGAGGCAGCCCGGUUGGCACUAAAACCAGAGGAGAGAGAAGGGAAGUGAUUGGAAAAUAGAACGAGUUUCUGAGCUGCAUCCUGAAGGAGGAGGUCUGGGAGUCCUACCUGAACACUGGUAAGAUGCAGGUACAUGACACAGGCCACGUGGAAACACACACACAGCACCAGCAGAAGCAGCACCAGCAUCCCCCUGAGAAACGAGAGGAGAGACCAGAGUGAGAAGGGCUUCCCCACUUU